Molecule: long non-coding RNA, 5445 nt
Organism: Bombus huntii
Lineage: Eukaryota; Metazoa; Arthropoda; Insecta; Hymenoptera; Apidae
Exons: 4
Source: RefSeq, a predicted model, not a curated record
CGAAACAAACGAUUAUUUUUAUGCGAUAACUUUAAUAAUAGCGUUUCAACGUUCCUAGUGGCAGCAGUAAAAAUCAACGAUGCGGACCUCGUUAUCUCGCAUUUAUAUUUCAGUCAUUUGCAUUUAAAUACUGCGAUAUUUUCUAUAUUAUCAAAUUAUAAUUAAAAAUAACAAAAUAACAAGCAAAAAGUCUGUAGACUAAAAAAAAGAGUGUUUAAUUUCCCUAGAAAAAAAGAAAUAAUUAAAUUGCAAAUAGUUAAUAAAAUCGAGCCGAUCAAAUUAGAGCAAAGUAUGUUAAAAACCAAACUAAUCUACAAAUCAAUUAUUAUAAUUGCUAUAAUAAAAUCUUAUUAUCAUUAAUCAACGUUUCAUUAGCAUAUUAUUAAUGUACGGGGUCCAUUAUUAUCGUUGAAAAAGUCUCCAUGCAUUUCAGAGUUCAAUUUUUCUCAGCAAACCGAAUCCCACUUUGGGUUGACGUGCAAACUGAAGCUAUCGUGGUACGUAAUGAAUAAUUAAGCGUGCAGUAAAUACUCUUGCUUUGGCUAGUUCAAGUUAUAUUGCAUCGCAAAUAACGGACUAUUUAAUUAGCCGCGGGCGGGAUUCUCAGUGAAUCGCCAAGUUAACAACUUGCGUCCACGAAAGGACAUCCGAGGAAUUUCUCAAGAGCUGCACCCUUUCUUGUGUUCGACGUUUACUCCAAGCACUCAGUUCCAGCACACAAAACGACCAUAUUUUACCUUAAUAAAGAAUAAAUUCUUCAAUUACAGUAGUUUGCCUUAAUAAUUUUGUUCAGCCACAAGGAAAAGAUUUUUGUAGGUAUGUAGGUGAAAAGAAUCAUUCAAAUAAAUAUCUUCUCUCUAAAACAAUCUAAUCUAAUAAUAAUAAGUGGGAUAUUGAAGUAAUUUUUGGUAACCUUUGGUUGCUUGAGGGCUAAAUCCGUAAUUAUUAAAAUACUCUUUGUUCAACCAUACCAUUAAUCCAUUAAAUAUAAUGAAUUCGAUUUGGAAUCAUGAAAAGAAAUUUGUACUAUUCAUAAGGGAGGAUUCCUUUUAAUUCAAGAAAUAUAUUUAAUAUUAUAUAUUUCAUAUUUCAAAAAUAUAUUUUUUAUAUCUAUAAAAAAUCAACAUCCAUAGAAGAUCAAUUAAAAUAUGUAAAUUGUAUAAUUUCAAGGGAAGAAAUUGGAAGUUGAUAGAUCAGAGUACCAACCUUGUAGAACACACACAAAAAGAGAAGUGUACAGAGAUUAUUAUGACCAGACAAAAGCAAGGAAAUAUAUAAUCUAGGACUUUCAGUGUCUUUAAAAUCAAAUUCAAGAUUAUCAAACAUAAGGAACAAGAAACGAAGAAAUGCACCGUACAUUUCAUUUAAUCUUAAAGUACCAAUCUUAGAACAGCUCUAAAAAAGGAAUUUAUAAAAAUAAUUAUAACUAGAUGAAAUGUGAUCCAGGACUUUCGUUGGCCGUGAAAGUUUUCCAGGAAAAAGGGUUUUAAUAUUCCCCGUGGUCAGCAUCCGGAGAACAGUCGAUGAUACGACGUAGCCCGAGCACGUGAAAGUCGACCACGAGGCUCGGUCGUGGAUUUUUGCACACUCAGAAACCAGUUUCUGCUCCUAUUGUUACAACCGUCGCGGCUAUUCUCGCGCACGGAAUCUUUCCCUCGGGCCGCAUUUCUUUAUUCAACCGCUUCUUUUGCGCGUGGGUGUCGCAAAACUUUUUGCCGCUGAUGAAAUCUCCAUCGGGAACGAAUUAAAACCGUGUCAGACAGUUCUAGACUCUUACGGCUGUCUGUUCUACUGUUAAGUAAUUUAAAUAACCGCUGACACCAAACCAUUAAUCAUACAGCGACAAGAAAGAAUUUUUUCUUCUUGCGUUCUUCCUUUCCAUUUUGAAGAAUUUUUAUUUAAUAAAUGGAUAAAAUGUGUUCUUCAUUUAACCUUCUUAUAUCAUCCGACAAAUUUUUAAAAAAUUUUUAAAAGAUCAGAGAAUCGACAUAGAGUAAAAGAUCAUUUAAUACUACACUGGAACUAAUAACUAAUAUAUAUAAUGACUGGAACUAAUGGAACUAAUACGUUAUCAAUAUAACGUAGACGUUAAUAAAUUAUCGAUAUAAAAUAGAAAUUAAUAGAUAGAUUAUUUAACAUUAAAAUUACCAAUCUAUAUCGUAUACUGAAAUAUAUAUUAAAAUGAAAGUUAUUAAUACGUUUUAAGAAGCACACUACGCUUCCAAAUAUUCUAGUAUUAAAAGAAAGGUCGUUAUCGAUUUAAAAUUCCUCCGUUUUAAGGAAUCUACUUUACAUCAAAUUCUUCAUUCUAUUUCCAAGUACAAGAUUCCAGCAAUUAACAUCUCGUGAAUUCCUCCACCAAUAAAGAACCUACGGUUCACAAGAAGGUUAGAAUUCAGCUGAAAAAUUUAUUACCUACGAUUGACAAAAAGAAAGAAGGAGAUAAAUACCAUUCAAAAAAUAAUAAAUGCCAUUGGCCUUUGUCAUUAAGCGCACGUUCGACGAAUGAUCAAAGAGAAUAUGCUAGUCGCGUGCAUCAGCGCGAUUAAUUCUUUUCGUGAUUAUCAAUGGACUAUAUAGUCGAAGAGGAACGGAGAGGGAAUUAAUAAAUGAUUACGCCAAUUUCAUUGCGUCACGCAUACCAAUGGCUGCCCCGUUGCAGGUACAAUAAAACGAAGAGGCUGUUAUUGACCUCACGUUUCAAGCUAAAUAGUAACUAUACAUGAUGGUUGAUCGUGCACGCCACGCGACUAUCGCUACAUACAUGAUCGAACCGGUACGUGUUCUUCGUGUGUCCCUUUGGGACCAUUCCGUGGCUAUAUGAAAGAGAAACGUUUCUCAUGACGCGUGCCAACAAUGUCAUUGUUCUUAUCGGGGGAGAGACGGCUGAACCUGAUUCCACGCUGGCUCCAUCUAUAUAACUGCUUUCACACGCAUAUACGCGGAAUUGGGCAGUAGCGUUGAAGUAUUACUCAGAUUAGUCAAGUCAUUUGAAGAUUCGAAUUAUUCAAGUUGCUUAAGGAUUUAAAUUAUUUGGCUUAACUGAAAUUCGAAUUAUUCGAGCUAUUUGAAGAUUUAUAUCAUUCAUGUUACUCAAAGAUUCAGAUUAGAUAGGGAGAAAGAAUCGUUUUCGAUCUAUGGUUCCUUCGAGACUUUCGUCACUUGUAAUGGGAGGAACACGUUCCAAUAAACAAAAAUUUAAUCUUGGAUUUUUCAUGAUCAUGGCCGCAUUUGCAUCAACGUUUUCUUACGAACCUCCCUCGAUCUGGAACUGGCGGACAGUGUACCCCAUGGAUUACGUGAAUAUACCGGCUGAGUCCACGUUGAGGGUAAGAUGCUAGGGGGGAACGGAUGUUUUCGCUCGAGUGCUCGACCGGCAUUGUACCGCCGCUUAUGGCACGAUAACAGUUUCCUCCGGCAAUAACGAUUUCAGUAUCAGGAUGACAAGACACGCGAGCAUUAUGAACACUCUUGUUAUUCGAAUUCGGCCGUGAAGCUGGGGAAAAAUCAUGGAUAGAUAACGAAUCAAGAAUUCUUCGCAUUUCCAGCAUUUUUCUCAUAUGAUAAAGACACAAGGAUGACAGCUGCAGGAUAUAAAUUACGUACAGAAUUUUCCAAUCUUCUCGGGGCAAUUAUCUGAAACGUUUUAGAGAAGUGGUUGAAUAAUAAAGUCAUACCGAUCGAGGUAGCACACAGAUAAUAGAGACAGACUGUCGUGAUUGGUUGUUCUUUCGAAGAUAAGAUCACCCUCCUUGCGUCGAAUGAAAGUUAUGUAAAACGCGUUGUUGGUGAGAAACUCGUCAGAAACUCAGAUUAGCCAACGGUGAACAGAUUGAAUAAUUUAACAGAUCAGUGUCCGUGUCCAGUACACGGUCGUGUUGAAAAACUACGUGGUCAGUGUUUUAAAUCAUAAACUUCAUCGUAAAUUGAAUUGUGCAAAUAGCACCGAUGUUUCCUGGUAAUCUUCGUGGCAAGCAAUCACGUAUACCCAAUACGAGCUCGCAUUCUAGAUGCUUGAAAAACCCUUCGGUUACUCGAUUACGAAAAAACAAGCGAAAAUCAAACAAGGUUUUGUUGAUUUUUUCAAUUUGUUACUCAGUGGAUAAAAGAAAAUAUUUUAAUGUAGGAAAAAGAAGAUAGUAUGGGACAAAUGUGAUGAGCUACACUUUUUGUUUCUCACAGUGAAGCAAUUCUGGAAUUCCAUACACUGUUGACUAGUUCUAUAUUACUUAAAUUACUCUUUAAUUCGAUUUACAGAUGAAACAUGGGCUCGUGCUAUAUGUUUGUAAUUGAUUGAUAUUUAUAAUUUCACAGAUAUUAAUAUAUAUUCCUAGAUUUUUGAUACUGAUGUAUAAUUUAUAUAUUGAUAAUUCAAUAUUUACUUAAAUUAUCUAACAUUAUUCUACAUGUAGAUACAUAACUUUUUAAAUAUUCAAGAAGAUGGCAAAAACAUAUAUAACGAAAAUCUGAAAAUCAAAUGAAGAGAUAGUUUUAACAAGACGUAGAAUUAGUCGACGAUAUAUUGGAUUUUGAUAAUUGUUCUCCCAUAAAAGGCAGGAUAUUUUCUUCACCUUCGACUUCCAAAAAUGAAAUGCAUGAAACAUUUUGUAGAACGACGAUAUUGAAAGCUAUUAAGAUAAUUAUUAAUACCAAAACGCAGCUAUCCAUUAGUGGAACGCAACUGUAAAUGGUUUAAUGAUUACAGAAACCGUAGAGUACAUAAUAGCCUCUGUACCUGGAAGCUUCGGUUUAAAGUACAAUGUAUGAAAGACUGCAGAAACCACUAAAUGCACGGAAAGGAGUUCAAGCGUUUAAUUACCACUCGGUAAUGCAUUUGCUGUCGUAUAAGCAACAUAAUAGCUAUAUGCUCGGUGGAGCAAAUAUAACACGUUGUGAGAAAAAAAAAACGAAGAUACGUAGUAGGAAGAGAAAACGAUGGUAUCCUUGAAUGGAGAGUGUUAACAGUUCAGGGACGAAGGUAAAAUCCGAUCCAUUAACCGUGACGCUUUAUCUAACAGAAAGUGGUUCCGAUGGUUAGAAGCCAUGUGGUGGUUGUUGGCUAAAGUCGAAUAGUUUAAUGAAGCUGACCACGUUCAUAACCGCAAAGUAUUUCCCAGAGACUUGUUGCGUUUAAUUUUAGAUUAAUUAUUUUUAUAGAAUAAUAGUAUAUAAACAUAUAUACUCCUGUCAUUUCAUUAAAAAUUUUAAUCACACAAAUUUUCAUUACCUAUCUGUCUCAAUAGGACUAUACUGACAUAUUUUACUAGUAACUUCAUAUUAAUUUUCCAUACAUGUAAUCAAAAGAGUCUUAGUGGCUCUUUAAACAACGUCGCAAAUGUUCCUCCAUUUAUAGUAUGUAUUUAUAUUUUUAUAGAAUUUUUUCAUUAAAACUAUAUAGUAAUACUUUACUAAUAAUUAUAGAUUUUUCCUACACUUGUAGACAUA